AGACUUCUGCAUCUUCAGGAUAUNCUAGUCCAACAUCGAGGUCACAACCCCCCCUUUCGAUUAGGUCUCUCAAGAGAGAUUAUNCUGUUAUCCCUGCGGUAACUAAUUCUUUUAAUCGGCUAAGCCGGAUCAAAACUUAUCGGUAUUUCUUAAUACAGGAAGCUUUUUUUGUUCCUUGGGUCGCCCCAACCAAAAAUACUAGCAGUUAUGAAUUUAAUUAAAAUAUAAGAUAGCUUCUCUUGUUUUUCAAGCUCGACAGGG
Molecule: ribosomal RNA, 261 nt
Filed under: Turritella acropora
Lineage: Eukaryota; Metazoa; Mollusca; Gastropoda; Turritellidae
Description: partial 16S ribosomal RNA
Source: RNAcentral